AACGCAUCUUGCGCUCCUUGGUAUUCCGAGGAGCAUGCCUGUUUGAGUGUCGUGAAUAAACCUCGGGCCUUCUUUCCUUUCGAGGGAUAAGAGGCACGGAUAGUGGACGAUUUGCUGCGCUCGAUUUGCAGCUCGUCUUGAAAUGAAUUAGAGUCGGGUCUCCGAAGGAUUAACGGUGUGAUAAGGUCUCGCCGUAAUGCCUUUUCGAUGCUGGACCCAAAUGCUCAUUUUGUCCUUUUAGUAGGACUGUCCCUUAGGGGCAUAUAAGCAGUGUGACCUCAAAUCAGGUAGGACUACCCGCUGAACUUAA
Molecule: unclassified non-coding RNA, 310 nt
Filed under: uncultured fungus
Lineage: Eukaryota; Fungi
Description: partial contains 5.8S ribosomal RNA, internal transcribed spacer 2, and large subunit ribosomal RNA
Rfam family: 5.8S ribosomal RNA (bases 1-52)
Source: RNAcentral